Non-coding RNA from Equus caballus (horse), 6108 nucleotides. The record is from RefSeq and is a predicted model, not a curated record. Lineage: Eukaryota; Metazoa; Chordata; Mammalia; Perissodactyla; Equidae.
UGCCAAACACCAUUGGGUUUAAUGACUCAGAUGAUUUUAAUGGUGCAGCAGUCUUUAAUUACAGGCAGCACGCUGCAGAGAGGGGCUGACGGCACCCUUCCUGGGUUCCCAGGCCCUCUUCUGCCUCCAGCUUUUCCAGUUGAGGUCACAAUUUAGCCUGGACUCAGCCACCGAGAAUUUGCCAGCAAAGUCGAGGAGAAGCGAUUUUAAUUUGCCCCCUGCGGAUACUGAACCACGGCCACUCACGCUGGAUUUCCCGGACUGCUAAAAGCUUAACCCUUAUGCAUGAAGGCCAAGGAGAGUCUGCAGAAUGAGAUCCUGCUCUUGGAGAAAUUUCAGAAAGACCAGCGAAAUGGGAAGGAUUCUCCUUCCUGCCAACCUGGUGGGUGUCAAGACUCGGGAGAUGCCACGAGGUUGCUGUAUCUGAGCCCUAAGCAUGCACCCAGGCCGCAGGAACGAAAGCUGGCUGCCCGGGCUUUCUUUUAACGAGAUGAGAAUUGAACUUCAAAAGCAAACGGUGCAAAACCUCGUAGGGAAAUACCGGAUGACAAAAGGGGAAUUUGGUAACCAAGUGCCUGGAAGGCGCAGGAGUGGGGAGCCUCGUCUAAGUCAAUGAGCGGGUCCCAUGGAAUCUGGGGGUCAAAACAGUACCUUGGUUGUUAAGAAAGUGGUGCAAAUCGACCUGGAAUGGCUUGGUUAAGAAUUUCAGCUCUGGGGAAAUGUUUCCAUGCUCCCAACAAAAUGCUAUCUUUUAGCAAGUGUGUGGUGAUUCCGUUUCUAGGAAUUUAACCUUCAAGCCUGCUGACACUUAAGUAAAUGACACUUGUGGAUGCAGGCCUGUGACAGCAGAGAUUUUAAUUGCCAAAGACUGGAAAUAACCCAGCCUUCACUAACUGUGUCCUGGUGAAAUAACUUACGCUAUGCUGAUACAGAUGGAAAACAAUGCAGCAAUUAAAAAGAACAAGGCAAUCCUAUAUGGAUGAAACUGAAGAAUCGACAAGAUAUAUACCUAAGUGAAAAAAACAAGACACAUUACAGAGGGCGCAGUUUGUUGCCAUGAGCUACAAGGAGUGGCUGGAAGCACAGUCUAGAGCCAGGACUCUUGAAACUGAAUUCCAAUUCUCUCUCACUAGCUCUGUGACUUUGGGCAACUCGCUGUACCUCUCUGGGCCUCAGUUUCUUCAUCCAUCAAAUGGAUCACUAAGAAGAGUUAAUUUAUCUAAAGUAUGCAUUCUCAACGGGGGUGAUGUUUUCCCCCCAGGGGGGCAAAAAUUAGUUCAGAAGAUGUGGUGGUAAAAAAAUCUUAAGAUAUUACAAUCAUUUGUGGCCUUCCAAAGCUAAACCCUACCCGAUAAAUCUUAUCCCUUAGUAUUUAAUUUCUCUCACCAGGGAGAAUUGAAAUUAAAUUAAAGUUUUCUUCUUAGGAGGGUGAUAAUGAAAAAAAGGUCGAGAAACACUGAUCUAAAGUAUUCCGCAGCAGGAGGCGGAUGGGGAUGACAUUUACCUUGCCAACGUGCUCAGAGCCUUAAACAAAACGAUGGCUGUCGAGGCCACAGUGCUGUCUCGUUAUCUGGGCCUCACCAAAACGCCAGGGGGGGGGGGGUCAAUGCUGCUGUCAACCCGCAGUUCUCAAUGAGGAGCUGGGGUCCAAAGAAAAUGGGACUAGGCCAAAGGGCAGAAGCAGAGCCUGAAUUUUCGCCUGGUCUCCCUGACUGAGAGCUUCCCCUUUAUGCUCUAAUGACAUCUGAAGACCACAGGGCCCAGUUGUUCAUGCAGCUGCCCUGAGUCCACUCCAAGUCAUGACAGGUCAACGCAGAUGUCCAGAUGGGUCCUCACCAUUAGAGCAUGAGUACACGACGGCGAGUCUAGCCCAUGGACCGUUGUAGCAAACAGCCGGGAACUCCUGUCACAUCCACUAGGAGGAAGCUUAGAGCUGUUCCACUGCCCUCACAGUGUCUUCUUGGCAGGCCGUCUGGAGAAAUUUCCACCUGCCCCGAGCACUAAGCAUAGCCCCGCCUGCCAUGAGCAAUGGUCUGUGUCAGUCGUCUGGACACAGCGUGGUAGAAGGGAGCACACUGCUUUCCCCACUGGCUGCCAGAAAGCUCCAAGCCAGCUCUCAGGUGCCCUCCAGCAAGGUCUUCGUGGCCCGUGCUUUAUGUCAAUCCUGACUCCAAGUUAUGGUCCCACCGUCACGUAGCCUUCCUUUGGCCUCAGUUUAAUGUACGUGACCUUAUUUUGUUUUGUAAACUGCCUCCACCCUUUCUAGAAUAGGGAGAGGUGUCAAGAGAUGAAUCAAUAAACAAACACACGGAACUCCAAGAAGUUCUAGAAAAAGCCACCACUGGCAGAAGAACCCAUUGGGCCUCAUCACCCAGUUCCCCAGGGACUUUCAAGCGAGGCUGGCAGGUGGGGGCUGGCCCUUUGGCCUGGAAUGGGUGAGAAGGAGAGGAAGGAGGGAGAACGGCAGCUUUAGUCAUGGUGGUCUCAACAGGCAGGUCACCAACUGAUUCCUUGGGUUUCUUCAUUCAUUCAUUCAUUCAUUCAUUCAAGACCUGCCAUGUGCAAAGCACCGUGCUUCCUGAGCAGGAUACAAUGAUGAACAAAGAAAAUGACAUGGUCCUUGCCCUCAGGAAGAUUCUAUUCAGUUCAGGGGUCAGCAAACGGCACCUGAUGGGCCACAUCUGGCCUGCCAGCCUCUUUUUGUACAGUUUCAUUGGAACCCGGCCAUGCUCGUUCAUUUACAUAUUAUCUACAACUGCUUUAUCGCCACACCGGCAGAAGUGAGUAGCUGUGACAGAGACGAUAUGCCCCACAAAGCCUCAAUUAUUUACUGUCAGGCCCGUUACAGAAAAUUUGCCAACCCUGACUUUUAUUUGUGAGUAUAUGAAAAAUUUUCCAAAUCAACAAAAAAGAAAUUCUGAUACCCUCUCGAGACCCCAGUUUUCUCAUCUAUUAAAUUGACAGGAUAAGCGUGUCAUCGUGAGGGUGAAAUGACAGGACACACGGGAAGCCCUCAGAAAUGAGCCUAGAACACCCGCACCCGCGAUCUUCUUUGAUUCUCGUUAUUACUGAUAUGACGACGGCUGGAGUCAGAAGAGGAAUAAUUUCAGCCCAACACGGCUUGAAAACACAUUCAGCCUCCUCACACUGAUUCUCGGAAUACGUACGAUUAGCUGAUCGAAGUCAUCCUGGCAUUUUACCAUUUCUCUUGAUUUUGAGAUGAAUAUAUUUUUGUUCACGCUUUCAACAUUUCUGAAAGUGAGGCUUACCCUGAUAAUCAAUGUAUACACAUGAUUUGUUAAUUCAUAUUUGUUGAGCACCAAUUAUGUGGCAGGCACUCAGGUCUAUGUAACAAUUUGUGAACAAUAAAUAUAUGGAUGUAUGGAUAUGUGUGUGUAUAUCUAUAGUUGAUAAGGCAUAAAUGAUGCUCACUUGGAACCUGCAUUGGAAUGGGGGAGGCCAACAGUAGUUGUAUAUAGCCUGUCAGGUGGUAAUAACAGCUAUGAAGAAAAAUAAAUCAGAAGGGAGGGAGAGAGAAUGGUGGCAGUCCGAAAUUUUAAAAGCGGUGGUCGGAUGGCCUCCCCAGGAGAUGACCGUUGAGCAAGGACCCGAGGGCAGCAGGUGACAGGGUGAGCGUGCCAGAAUUUGGGAGCACAGGCUCCAGGCAGAGGGAAGGACAGGCACCAGCCCAGGUGCAAAGAUGCGUAUCUCUGGCAGCGUGUUUUUCUCCCCCUCUCCCCACCAACGCCGUUACUCCCGCUCUGCUAUCCUCAGAUUACGGAAAUGCCCUAUUUGUCCACCAAAGGCGUGGUGUGGAAUAAUGGCACCGGCUUCUGGACUUGGGACUCAGGUGAGGUGACGGUCACGUUUUAUUUCAGCUUAUUCCUCAAGCUCAGCUCCUCUGAAAUUGCUGACAUGUUUUCUUGGCCCGAAACCUGCUGUAAGCCUUUGGCCAAAAGCAUCACCUGUCAACAACCUAGGAAAUCCACAGAUACGCUGUACAGACAGAAAAGAGUACGGGGGUGAUGAGGUCGCGGCUGUGACAUUCCUCCACCAGGAUUCUCAGCAAACUCACCAAGAACAAAGCCACAGACCCAGAAAAGAAACGGCGACAGCCUCUGGGUGGCAAGGAAGACAGGACCCCAGCAGCCAGACUUCGUUCCACUGACAACUCACAGUGACCCCGAAUAUUCUCCGUUUUACAGAAGAGGGGACCCAGGCUCAGGGAGGAGCUGACUGGAAGCUCGUCCCAGGUCCCUACGUCAGGAUGACCCUGGUCUUGACGCUCUAGAACAGGAGGCAAGUCAUUCUCAGACUUGGGUUCAAGUUCAUGCAUCCAUCCGCUGAACAGAUGAAGUGUUUCUCCACUAAGCAUUCAUAACUGUAAGACCCCACAAGCCCCAGACUCUGGCUUCCGGAGAACUUUUCUUUCCAGACGAAAAGAGCCAGGUCUCGGGGCCCACACAUGUGGGGAACAGCCACUCCUGUGUGCCGACCCCCCUUCCAGCAGACGCUCUGGCAGCCACAGGGAGCCCGGGGUGGCGGGGGGUGAGCGGUUUACUCACUGCUUCUAACCCAGCUGGGACUCACCCCUCACUCCUCUGGCCUCGGGGGAAAGGCUCGCCCUGGGAGAUGGGGUGCCCUCUCCAGCUGAGGACAACUGUGCACUUCCUCACUUCCCCUACACACAGGGAGUGAAGUGCACCUGACAUGGAACAGCAACUAGAAAGUCACCCCGAGAGCCUCUGAGCACCAGCAGCUGGAAGUUCUUGACCCUCCCCUGGCGCGUGGGGAUCAAUUUCCCAGUAACUUACCAGGCGCAUCCUCCAGGAUGAGAUUAGGCGGCGGUGUUAUAGACCGAACGUCUGUUUCCCCCCCAAAAUUCACGUUAAAAUCCUACCCCACCCCAUGUGGUAGAAUCAGGAGGCGGGGCCGUGGGGAGGUGAUUAGGUCGUGAGGGUGGGGCCCUCAAGAAUGGGAUUAGUGCCCUUAUAAAGGGGACCCCAGAGAGCUCCCUUGCCUUCUUUUUGCCUCGUGAGGAUGCAACAAGAAGUCGGCAGUCUGCCGCUGGCACCCUGACCUCAGACUUCAGACCUCUGAGAAAUCAAUCCCUUUUGUUUUUAGCCACCCGGUCUAUGGUCUUUCACAGCAGGCCCAGCAGGCUAAGACAGGUGGGGAUCCACCACAAGUGUAUCCAAAUGAAGAGAAUUCAAAGAGGAAGGUUUUGAGGCCCAGAGAGGCAAAGUGACUUGCCCAAAGUCACGCAGCUGGAGUGAGUCAGAGCUGAGCCUUGAACGAGUCAUCUCUAUUUUAUUUACAUUUGGCAGUGGAAUAGAUUUGAAUCAAAUGUGCUUGGGCACAGAGGAAAUUUGACCUGAAAGGCAGUUUUUGUGGCAGGAAGAAAGCCAAGAGAUAUUUCCUGCCUUUCCAAGGAGUCUUUGGAAGUGCUUCUUGUCCCCAGUGGUUUAAUGUUCCUCCUUUGUGGAUGACCCACUGCAGUCAAGAAGACGAAGAGGACCAGCUAGAAGCCGGGGCCUCCCUGCCCUCCCCCUCCGCCGAGAGAAGACCGGCUCUCCUGUCCGGGAUAAUCAGCCUCUGCAAACGCACGCAUCAGUUCAGCAGUAACAACAAAUCGCCAAGUUCCACUCCUCUGGCAGGGCAGGAGAUGUGGACCCUGGCCCUGAGGAAGCCAGCAGCAGCAGCAGCAGCAGCAGCACCGGGGGGCUUGCUGGAAAUGCAGACUCCCGGGCCCCACCCCCAACACCUGCUGAAUCAGAAGCUGCAUGUGAACAAGAUCCCAGAUCACGCUUUGAGAACCACCGAGCGACAGCCUCAUGGGGGUCCCGGCAGAGCUCAGAGGGGCCCACGAAGACGUUCUAGAAGAGGGAAUGUGUGAGCUGGAAGGAUGGAGGGGAGCUUGCCAGAAAUAAUUACAGACUCACAGGAAGUUGCUAAGACAGCACAGAGAGUUCCGUGUUCCUUCGCCCAGCUUCCGCCAAUGGUGACAUCUUAUGUAACUGCGGUGCCAUAUGAAAGCCAGGCCCUUAACAUCGGUACAAGACUAUGAACCAGAGCACAGACCUCAACUGGUUUCACGUUUUCUAUGCA